AUAAUCAUUUGUCUCUUAAUUAGAGGCUUGUAUGAAGGGUCGAAUGAGAUAAAAUCUGUUUUAAUUUAAUUAAUUAUUGAAUUUUAAUUUUUAGUAAAAAUGCUAAAAUUUUUAUAAAAGACGAGAAGACCCUAUAAAUCUUGAUUUUAUUAAUUAUAUAUUUUUAUGUAUAAUAAUUAAAAUUUUAUAUUUAUUAAAAUUAUAUUGGGGCGAUAAUGAAAUUUAAUUAACUUUUAUAUUUUUUAAAUGUAUAUUUACAGAUUAAUGAUCCAAUUUUAUUGAUUAAAAGUUUAAGUUACUUUAGGGAUAACAGCGUAAUAUUUUUAGAGAGUUCUUAUUAAUAAAAA
This 347-nucleotide ribosomal RNA is filed under the name Forcipomyia bipunctata. Its description in RNAcentral is "partial 16S ribosomal RNA". The record is from RNAcentral. Lineage: Eukaryota; Metazoa; Arthropoda; Insecta; Diptera; Ceratopogonidae.